GGUUCUUUGAGUUCCUGUUGUCUUUCUAUCAGCUGGAACCAGUCUGACCUCUGACCUCUAGCAUCAACAAGACAUUUCUGACCACAAAACUGCUGCUCUCUGGAUAUUUUCUCUUUUUGGACCAUUCUCUGUAAACCCUAGAGAUGGUUGUGGGUGAAAAUCCCAGUAGAUCAGCAGUUUCUGAAAUCCUCACCUGGCAGCAAAUAUUUAUCUUCUUUUAUUUAUUUAUUUUCAAUCUAUCAAUUGAUGACAGAUUAGCUUAACUGGGUUAGAUAAAUAUCUGUAUUUUUGUUAUAAUGAAUUCGAUUUCUCGACGUUUCUCCAGACGCUCAAAGCGCUGGACAUCCUCAGUACUCUCCUCCUCCAUGAUUUGGUCUGAAUCUCUACUUCCAUCCCUCUACAUGUAUGUUGUCAGGACCAAAAGCCUUUCCACUCGUCCUCCUCUCUUUCUCCUCCUCUACGUAACAGAGGAGCUUCAGAUGUCGGUCAUGAACGUUUUCCUCCGUCAGCAGUUAGUGAUGGGACGAGCGACACUGGUGCAUCAGCACUGUGCCGAGAGCUCAAGAGGGAAACCUCAUAUUGGUGCGUGUAUUGCUUUAAGAAAGAAUCACAUGACCGAUGCAGGAACUGUAUCGUUUGGAUGUGCCGCGCCAACGUGUGUUUAUAAGGACACAAACUGUAUCAACAUGUCGUGGGUUUGUCGGAUGGAGUUUUGCUUGAUCAUGGAUCGUCCUAGGAAGUUUUCCCCGGUGUGGAAUAAUUUUGAUCUCGUGACGCCAAACAAGGUGAAGUGUCGGCUCUGCUCCACAGAGCUAUCUUAUAUCAAUAAGAGCACUUCAUCAAUGCUGAGGCAUUAUAGAGCUCGGCAUGGCAAUGAAGAAUUGGCAGAUACUCGUGAGAAUACCCCAGGUAUGUUGAAAUUCUCUCUAAAAAUUGUGCUAAAAAAUAAACAUGCAUGCAAACAGACAGGCUCCACGCCUGGUAUCGAACCUCCAACCCUCUUGCUGUGAGGCGACAGUGCUAACCACUACACCACCAUGUCAUCUUAUGACUAUUUGAUAUAGUUUGUAAAAAUUACAGUCCUUUUAUUAAGCUUUUGACAAAAUAGUUCCUAUUGGCUUGCAGUGGAUGAGGCAGUGGUCAAUAUGAUCAUCACAGACUGUCAGGAUUCAGGGAGCUCCUGAAGCUUCUUGUACCCUCCUAUGCUCUACCAAGCAGGAAGACCAUCAAGGACUUGGUGAGCCAGAGAUAUGAGGAGGAAAAGGAGAAAACCAAAAAGGAUCUCCAGAGUUCCGUUGCUGUUAUUAACAGCUGAUAUGUGGACGUCUAUGAAUAUGGAGGCAUAUCUAGCCGUUACUGGCCACUAUGUGGACACAGAAAGCCAUGAACUCCAUUCAUCAGUCUUGGCAGUGCAGCAUUUUCCUCAGAAACACACUGCAGAAAACAUUGUAACGGUUAAAAGGAGCCUCAUGGAGGAGUGGGGCAUAGCAGGAAAGGUCAGGUGUCUUGUCACUGAUGCAGCAGCAAACACGGCUGCAUGUGCUCGAAUGCUGCAAAUACGGCAAACCAUUUGUAUAGCCCAUUCCCUGAAUUUAAUUGUGAGAAAAUCAUGUGAUCAAAUCCCAACAAUGACUGAAAUACACAACAAAACACGACACAUUGGGACAUACUUUCGAUGGAGCGUGACUGCUAAAGAGAAGCUCACUCAAAUACAGCAACAGCUGGGAACACCGGGCCAUAAAUGAAUAAACGAGGUGCCAACACGAUGGAACAGAACCUACCAAAUGUUUGAGAGAAUGACUGAGCAGAAGGAGGCAGUCUGGGUGUCACUGGCCUCAUUAGAACCUGACAUCACUCCACUGACUCCAGAAGGAUGUCAGAUCAUUGAAGAGAUGCUCAGGGUUCUUGCUCCUUUUGACCAAGCUACAAGAGGAAAAAAGGGUCUCUGGGUCAAAGGUCAUUCCCAUGAUGAGAAUGCUCCUCAUUGAGCUUCAACGUCAGGCCACAACAGUGACAAAAACAGCUGCUCGGCUGGCUGAAAACCUGGAAUCUCUCAGUGUGAUGACUCUGGCAACUCUGUUAGAUCCCAGAUUUAAAAAGAAUGGAUUUGUUAGUCAGCAAAAGGCAAGUGAAGCGGUGAAGAGACUGCAGUCAGAAUGUGCAGAAGAAAUGAGGAGCCAAGAGAAGAAGAGCCUAGCUCUUCACAUGGGUCAGAACCCAGUUCAGCUAUGAAAAUACAUCUCUGUGGCACUUUGUGAUAUGAUAUAUAUCAUGUGAUAAUAAACUAAUGAUUAACUAUUUUUUAGGGCACAAUCUCUGGAAAACUUUAGAUACAGAGGUUACAGAGACCCAGAAGACGAGGAACGCAACAGCUGACUCUGUUAUUGAAGUCCAACGCUGCCUGGCAGAAACACACACCCAGAAACCAAGAUCCUUUGCAAUAUUGGAAAUGCAACCAGGAAAUAUACCCACAUCUUCAUCAACUUGCACUUAAAACUCUCUGCUCACCAUCAUCGUCUGUACCAUGCGGCUGGGGAGCUGGUGUGUUAGAGGAGAAAUGGCCUUGGAGCAAAGACACCCCAAAAACUUUUGUUUCUCAAUAACUAAUCACUUUUUUGUCUUUUAUUUCAUCUGAUUUAACAGUUAAGUUGACAAAUGUGCACAUAAGUUAAAAAUUGUAACUCUGAAUUUUUACUCUAAUUUGCUAUAUUUUACAUACCAACUCAGUUUUAGCAUUUACACGAACAAGGA
Oryzias latipes (Japanese medaka) is the source of this 2751-nucleotide non-coding RNA. Lineage: Eukaryota; Metazoa; Chordata; Actinopteri; Beloniformes; Adrianichthyidae. The record is from RefSeq and is a predicted model, not a curated record.